GGCUAAUCAUUUUGAUAUGUAAAGCAACUCAAUCUCUCAUAUGCCCAUAUUAAAAUGAAUUAAUGUUUAAUUUAUCAAACACUCCCCAAAUUUAACAGUUUUUUAGCCUCUCAGCUUCAACCCCAAACGGGGCCUAAAGCAUUAUACUAAUCAGCAUGAGUACACAUAGUCAAAAUUCACUGACACAUCAAUAGAGGGAUUAUUGAAGGUAAAAUAGAACACAUUACAACAGAAAAACACCCUUCCCACUUCCACACCUUUCAGAAUAUCAUCAGCAGAAAGGAACUUUUCAUAACAUUAACUUCAUUUCACAGCAGAAGUUUUGUAUUGCAGGUCCCAGACCAAAGAAAGUUAAAGAGUAGCCAUUUGAGAAGUAGCAGCAAAACUACCCAAGUAAAGAAGCAACAAGUUUGCAAUAACUACAAGUAAAGUUUCCCAUCCCACCUUUCCCUAUCAAAUCUAAGGCGGCGAAAAUAUCAUACCAGUUCUUGCCGUAGCUGUUGAUUUUGCUUCAGAGCAGCAGCUUUCUCCUCAGUCAACUUAGAAAUGGUAGACCAUUCCUGAAAAAUCAAUAAAAAUUGCUUUGUGAAAUUACAUAAAAAGAAAAUUAAAACAUUCAAUUUUCGUAAGACGAUGACGAUAAAAACUGACGCAGAUUAACUUCUACAAGCCUCCUUGACAACAGAAACACAUAAAUAUUAGAUGGCCAUUAUCUUGCUGGGCUCAUAAUAUGACCUCAGUUAUCUGUGGACCCUUUAAAAGAUAAAAGAGAAUUUUGAUAUUUUACAUGCUCCCCCAAACACAUGGUGCAAUUUGCAUAUGGUUCCAAUAGUGACAAAUAUGGUUAUUUGGCCUGCAUCCUAAUUUUUUUUUUUAGUAUAUCAGAAAUAAGAUCUCAUUGAUGAAAGCAUAUGUGCAUAGAUUAAAGCCCCACUACAACAAGAAAACUAGGUCAACACUAACACCCAAGCUCAUGAAAGAUGGUCCAAGACCAUUACAACAGAACCCUAUGACAAAUAGGUGUUUGACCUGAAGCCAAUGACCCAGCACAACAUUUCAAAGCAAAUCACCACCAACACCACCAGCAUGGGAACCACCAUCAACCAAAGGGGACUACAAGCAGUGCUCAUUAAGCAAAACACAGGGGAACUUAAAGAGGACCAUGCAAGACCAAAAAUAGCCAACCCACAUCCAAACAGAUUUCUCUUGAAAUAAUCAUAUCCAUCCUUGUAGAUGGAUCGGCUAGGAAUCAAGCAAUUAUAGAAACAAAGCUAAGAACCAUGGAUUUGCCAGAGAACAUCAAGGAGAUGCCAGACAAGCCGGGAAAGCAAGGCAAACUUAGGCUUUGAAUCUCGCCUAACCCAUCAGGACCCAGUGACUGAUGAGGGAAGGGACCAUCCCCUGCGCAGGGCAACAAACGCCUUUAACUGAAGAAAACUGAUAGAGAGAAAAGAGGUUUCUCUCACUAAAAAGAGAGACAAGCUCCCACUGCUUUUUAUGAUUAAUGGGCCAAUUGCCUGCACCCUAAUAGAAGCCCUUGGAAGUCAGAUGAAUACCAAGGGUAAAUCCGAAACCUCCCAUGGAGGAUAAUACAGAAACCUCCAAAUUAAACUUCAGUUUCCAAGGAUAAUUCUUUCAUAAGUGCAAUGUUUGACUACAUUAGCACACACUCUACGAUGAGUCCAUUCAAGUUAGAGCACAACUAAAAAAGUAAUUACAUGUUCUUCCAAAACCUUUAGAUAUUAAUACACAACAAAGAAUCACUUUUUAAAAUAACCAGUUAUGCAAGAACUGAAAACUGAGUAUUUGUCAGAAAAUCAACAUUCUACUUUCUAUAGGUUAUAUCAUUUUUAGAAGUUUGGCCAUCAAGAAACCACAUCGACAUUGAAGUAGAUUUUAUACUUCCAUAUGCAAUUUCAAGAACUCAUCAAGCAAACUACAGGAUUGCCCCUAAGAAAUAUCAUAAUCAAGCACUUCAAUGAGAAUACUAUCAAAAUGUAAGUAGAACAGUGUUGAUUACUUCCGAUCCACAAGUAAAAAAAAUAUGAAACCCUCUAUUCAUUCACGCAAGCAAUGCAAACUCCAUAAAAUCACAAUUUGCAGAAAAAAAUUUGCAAGUAUAGAAUUAGUGGAUAUCGGUCCACAUUUAAGGCGUGAAACAUUUUAAACACAGUCAAGAAGCCUUUAAAUUUUCAUUUCACCUCAACCAAGUACCGACUCAGAAAUAUUGAAGCCGUUGAAGAACUUGACCUACUCAGAAAUAUUAAAAUGCAAGACACAAAAUAAUCAAGUUACCAAAUUUUCAGCAAAAGGUAAAAAGACAACUUACCUCCGAAGA
This 2338-nucleotide unclassified non-coding RNA is filed under the name Hevea brasiliensis (rubber tree). The record is from RNAcentral. Lineage: Eukaryota; Viridiplantae; Streptophyta; Magnoliopsida; Malpighiales; Euphorbiaceae.